GUAAAUAUAAUUUAAUUAAAAUGAUAGAUUGUGAUUCUAGUAAUGGAGGUUAAACUCCUCUUAUUUACC
RNAcentral lists this transfer RNA (69 nucleotides) under Deveximentum megalolepis. RNAcentral's name for it is "tRNA-His". It matches the Rfam family "tRNA". From Rfam's summary of the family: Transfer RNA (tRNA) molecules are approximately 80 nucleotides in length. Their secondary structure includes four short double-helical elements and three loops (D, anti-codon, and T loops). The record is from RNAcentral. Lineage: Eukaryota; Metazoa; Chordata; Actinopteri; Chaetodontiformes; Leiognathidae.